Rhododendron vialii is the source of this 243-nucleotide long non-coding RNA. RefSeq lists it as uncharacterized. The record is from RefSeq and is a predicted model, not a curated record. Lineage: Eukaryota; Viridiplantae; Streptophyta; Magnoliopsida; Ericales; Ericaceae. The transcript is spliced from 2 exons.
UUAUCCACGUUAAUUGUGAUUGCUAGAUUAAUGAGCUGUGCAUGUUUGAUCAAUGCUCUUUCCUUGUAGGAUGAUAAUUUAUAGAGAAUCAUUUGAUUAUUUUUUUAGGUGGGAUUUGAAGCUGUAUUUAAGAAAUGGACAGAAUUCAGCCACCCCUGGAAGAAGGAUCUUGGCAGAUACAAAUGCAUUGAUGGACAUGUAUCAAACAAUUACCAGUAAUCCACACUCUCUGCAUAGGUAGUA